UACGUAGGCAGCAAGCGUUGUUCGGAGUUACUGGGCGUAAAGGGUGCGUAGGCGGCUUUUUAAGUCUGGUGUGAAAUCUCCCGGCUCAACUGGGAGGGUGCGCCGGAUACUGAGGGGCUAGAGUGUGGGAGAGGAAAGUGGAAUUCCUGGUGUAGCGGUGAAAUGCGUAGAUAUCAGGAGGAACACCGGUGGUGUAAACGGCUUUCUGGACCAUAACUGACGCUGAGGAGCGAAAGCGUGGGGAGCGAACAGG
Molecule: ribosomal RNA, 253 nt
Filed under: uncultured bacterium
Lineage: Bacteria
Description: partial 16S ribosomal RNA
Rfam family: Bacterial small subunit ribosomal RNA
Source: RNAcentral